AUUGAACGCUGGCGGCAGGCUUAACACAUGCAAGUCGAGCGGGGUGAUGGUGCUUGCACUAUCACUUAGCGGCGGACGGGUGAGUAAUGCUUAGGAAUCUGCCUAUUAGUGGGGGACAACAUCUAGAAAGGGAUGCUAAUACCGCAUACGUCCUACGGGAGAAAGCAGGGGAUCACUUGUGACCUUGCGCUACUCGAUGAGCCUAAGUCGGAUUAGCUAGUUGGUGGGGUAAAGGCCUACCAAGGCGACGAUCUGUAGCGGGUCUGAGAGGAUGAUCCGCCACACUGGGACUGAGACACGGCCCAGACUCCUACGGGAGGCAGCAGUGGGGAAUAUUGGACAAUGGGGGGAACCCUGAUCCAGCCAUGCCGCGUGUGUGAAGAAGGCCUUAUGGUUGUAAAGCACUUUAAGCGAGGAGGAGGCUCUUUUGGUUAAUACCCAAGAUGAGUGGACGUUACUCGCAGAAUAAGCACCGGCUAACUCUGUGCCAGCCGCCGCGGUAA
RNAcentral lists this ribosomal RNA (503 nucleotides) under uncultured bacterium. RNAcentral's name for it is "partial 16S ribosomal RNA". It matches the Rfam family "Bacterial small subunit ribosomal RNA", at positions 30 to 523 of the family's 1533-position model. The record is from RNAcentral.